GACGAACGCUGGCGGCGUGCCUAAUACAUGCAAGUAGAACGCUGAAGGAGGAGCUUGCUCUUCUGGAUGAGUUGCGAACGGGUGAGUAACGCGUAGGUAACCUGCCUGGUAGCGGGGGAUAACUAUUGGAAACGAUAGCUAAUACCGCAUAACAGUAGAUGUUGCAUGACAUUUGCUUAAAAGGUGCAAUUGCACCACUACCAGAUGGACCUGCGUUGUAUUAGCUAGUUGGUGGGGUAACGGCUCACCAAGGCGACGAUACAUAGCCGACCUGAGAGGGUGAUCGGCCACACUGGGACUGAGACACGGCCCAGACUCCUACGGGAGGCAGCAGUAGGGAAUCUUCGGCAACGGACGGAAGUCUGACCGAGCAACGCCGCGUGAGUGAAGAAGGUUUUCGGAUCGUAAAGCUCUGUUGUAAGAGAAGAACGAGUGUGAGAGUGGAAAGUUCACACUGUGACGGUAUCUUACCAGAAAGGGACGGCUAACUACGUG
Molecule: ribosomal RNA, 495 nt
Filed under: uncultured bacterium
Lineage: Bacteria
Description: partial 16S ribosomal RNA
Rfam family: Bacterial small subunit ribosomal RNA
Source: RNAcentral